GCAUUUAAAGGGCCCGGUCAGCUGACAGACGCCAGCCCGCGUCUAACCCAGGGGGCCUGGGUCUGGCUGCCCGGGGAGAGACGAUGGCGGAUCGAGCCGGACAAGUGCUCCUGGGCAGACCCGGGGACCCGCGGAUGCCGGGGUUCUGGGGAGGCUGUAGAGUUCAGGUAUUGGCCACGAUCAUCUUCCUGCUGCUUUUGUCUCUGGCAGAAUCUGGCGCCAGGGCAAAGAAUGACUUCAGCCUGGUUCAGCCGCUGGUGACCAUGGAGCAGCUGCUGUGGGUAAGCGGGAGGCAGAUCGGUUCUGUGCACACCUUCCGAAUUCCGCUCAUCACAACCACUCCUCAGGGCACUCUCCUUGCCUUCGCUGAGGCCAGAAAAAUGUCCACAUCGGAUGAGGGGGCCAAGUUCAUUGCUCUUCGUAGGUCCUUGGACCAAGGCAGCACAUGGUCUCCUACAGCCUUCAUUGUAGAUGAUGGGGACACCCCGGAUGGGCUGAACCUGGGGGCAGUGGUGAAUGAUAUGGAGACAGGAGUGGUGUUUCUUUUCUAUUCCCUCUGUGCUCACAAGGCUGGCUGCCAGGUGGCCUCCACUAUGUUGGUGUGGAGCAAAGAUGAUGGUGUUUCCUGGAGCCCUCCCCGGAACCUCUCCUUGGAUAUUGGCACCGAGAUGUUUGCCCCUGGACCAGGCUCAGGCAUUCAGAAACAGUGGGAGCCGCGGAAGGGCCGCCUCAUCGUGUGUGGCCAUGGGACACUGGAGCGGGAUGGGGUCUUCUGCCUCCUCAGUGAUGAUCACGGUGCCACCUGGCGCUAUGGCAGUGGGGUCAGCGGCAUCCCCUAUGGCCAGCCCAAGCGGGAAAACGAUUUCAACCCUGAUGAGUGCCAGCCCUAUGAGCUCCCAGAUGGCUCAGUCGUCAUCAACGCCCGGAACCAAAACAACUACCACUGCCAUUGCCGAAUUGUCCUCCGCAGCUAUGACGCCUGUGAUACCAUACGGCCUCGUGAUGUGACCUUCGACCCUGAGCUUGUGGACCCUGUGGUAGCUGCAGGAGCUGUAGCCACCAGCUCCGGCAUUGUCUUCUUCUCCAAUCCAGCCCAUCCAGAGUUCCGAGUGAACCUGACCCUGCGCUGGAGUUUCAGCAAUGGUACAUCAUGGCGGAAAGAGACAGUCCAGCUGUGGCCAGGCCCCAGUGGCUACUCCUCACUGGCAGCCCUGGAGGGCAACGUGGGCGGGAAGGACCAGGCCCCCCAGCUCUACGUCCUGUAUGAGAAAGGCCGGAAUCAGUACACCGAGAGCAUCUCCCUGGCCAAAGUCAGCGUGUAUGGGACACUCUGAGCUGCACACCUGACACCAGAGUAGAAGGCCCUGGACUCAGCCUUCAGAACCAUGGGCCCGUAGCGGGUCUGCUAGAGGUGCCUAAAAGACAGUUCCACCUGCCUGUAGACUGUAGCCUUUUGCAAAAUCGAUUUCUCUUUGACAGGGAAGUCACUCUUUUAGGACUACAAGCCUGGCUUCUUCCACACGGGGUGUCCUGCCCUCACUUGGGAGCACAUCCCUUCCACAUCAUUGCUGGCUCUGGCCCCCUACCCCCUUCUGCCUUCCUAGGGCAGUGAUUGGUCCUUUUUUUAGGCGGGGUUAGGUAGGCCUGUGGAAUUGGAUAUAUUUGGACUCAGGGAAUUGGGGAAGGCUGAGCUUCCUCUUUAGGGUAAGAUACUGGCUAUGGAGCAGGUUGGUGAAAGUACUGUAAGGGCAAUAUUUGGAUUCAGGGUAAAGAACUAGGUGCGCCACCCACCUAGACUAUUUAUAAAUUGAACUAUUUGUAACUUAACGUUUUUAAUGAAGGAGAUCAGUAGAGCGUAGUGU
RNA transcript from Herpailurus yagouaroundi (jaguarundi), 1862 nucleotides. It is a transcript of the gene named neuraminidase 1, with no coding region annotated. The record is from RefSeq and is a predicted model, not a curated record. NCBI's taxonomy places the organism in Eukaryota, Metazoa, Chordata, Mammalia, Carnivora, Felidae. The transcript has 8 exons.